GGUUGAUUCUGGCUCAGAUUGAACGCUGUAGGAUGCUGCAUGCAGUCGAACGGCAGCACGGACUUCGAUUCUGGUGGCGAGUGGCGAACAGGGUGGUAAUGUAUCGGAACGUGCCUGCAACAGCGGGGAUAACUACAUGAAGACGUAAGCUAAUACCACCUGCACUUCGGGGAAAGCGGGGACCUUCGGGCCUCGCACUAUUAGAGCGGCGAUAUCGGGAUUAAGCUGGAUUGGUGAACUAACAGCUCACCAAGGCGACGGUCGUAGCUGGUUUGGACGACCAGCCACACUGGGACUGAGACACGGCCCAGACUCACACAGGAGGUAACCAGUGAAGAAUUUUGGACAAUGGGGAAACCCUGAUCCAGCCAUCCCGCGUGUGCGAUGAAGGCCUUCGGGUUGUAAAGCCUUUUGGCAGGAAAAGCUUGGCACGGAUAAUACCCCGUGCAAUGACAGUACCUGCAGAAUAAGCACCGGCUAACUACGUGCCAGCAGCCGCGGUAAUACAUGGGAGUGCAAGCGUUAAUCGGAAUUACUAGAUAAAGCAUGCGCAGGCAGUUCGUGGAAAGAAGAUGUAAAUCGACUAACUUUGGAGCUGCAUUUUUAACUACCGAGCUAGAGUGUGUGUCAGAGGGAGGUGGAAUUCCGCGUGUAGCAGUGAAAUGCGUAGAUAUGCGGAGGAACACCGAUGGCGAAGGCAGCCUCCUGAAUAAACACUGACGCUCAUGCGCGAAAACCGGUAGAAGACGAAACCGGAUUGAUCUUCUGGUGAUCGCCUAAAACGAUGUCAACUAGCUGUUGGGGCCUUCGGGCCUUGGUAUGCAACUAACAGCGUGAGAUUCAUUGCCGCAAGAGAGUACGGUCGCAAGAUUAAGCUCAAAGGAUUCGACUGGACCACACAAGCGGUGGAUGAUGUGGAUUAAUUCGGUGCAACGCGAAGCCUUACCACCCUUGACAUGUCUGGGUCCCGAAGAGAUUUGGGAGUGCUCGCAAGAGAACCGGAACACAGGUGCUGCAUGGCUGUCGUCAGCUCGUGUCGUGAGAUGUUUGAUUCGAUCACCGCAACGAACGCAACCUUGUCAUUAGUUGCUACGAAAGGGCACUCUAAUGAGACUGCCGAGUACAAACCGGAGGAAGGUGGGGAUGACGUCAAGUCUCUAUGUGGCCCUUAUGGGUAGGGCUUCACACGUCAUACAAUGGUCGGGACAGAGGGUCGCCAACCCGCGAGGGAGCCAAUCCCAGAAGCUCCGAGUGUGAUCCCGGAUCGCAGUCUGCAACUCGACUGCGUGAACGUCGGAAUCGCUAGUAAUCGCGGAUCAGCAUGUCGCGGUGAAUACGUUCCAGAUUCAUGUGCAAUACCUGCAUGGGAGUGGGUUUUACCAAGAAGUAGUUAGCCUAACCGUAAGGGCGAUUACACCGGUAGGAUUCAUGACUGGGGUGAAGUCGUAACAAGGUAA
RNAcentral lists this ribosomal RNA (1457 nucleotides) under uncultured Bordetella sp. RNAcentral describes it as "partial 16S-23S ribosomal RNA intergenic spacer". It matches the Rfam family "Bacterial small subunit ribosomal RNA". Lineage: Bacteria; Pseudomonadati; Pseudomonadota; Betaproteobacteria; Burkholderiales; Alcaligenaceae. The record is from RNAcentral.